GACGAACGCUGGCGGCGUGCUUAACACAUGCAAGUCGAACGUGAUUUUUGUGGAAAGCCCUUCGGGGACGGAAAUGAAAUGAAAGUGGCGAACGGGUGAGUAACACGUGAGCAACCUACCUUACACAGGGGGAUAGCCGUUGGAAACGACGAUUAAUACCGCAUGAGACCACAAAGCCACAUGGCUUAGGGGUAAAAGAUUUAUCGGUGUAAGAUGGGCUCGCGUCUGAUUAGCUAGUUGGAAGGGUAAAGGCCUACCAAGGCAACGAUCAGUAGCCGGUCUGAGAGGAUGAACGGCCACAUUGGAACUGAGACACGGUCCAAACUCCUACGGGAGGCAGCAGUGGGGAAUAUUGCACAAUGGGGGGAACCCUGAUGCAGCGACGCCGCGUGAGCGAAGAAGGCCUUCGGGUCGUAAAGCUCUUUUAUAUGGGAAGAUAAUGACGGUACCAUAAGAAAAAGCCCCGGCUAACUACGUGCCAGCAGCCGCGGUAAUACGUAGGGGGCUAGCGUUGUCCGGAAUCACUGGGCGUAAAGGGUUCGCAGGCGGCAAUGCAAGUCAGAUGUAAAAGGCAAAGGCUCAACCUUUGUAAGCAUCUGAAACUGUAUAGCUUGAGAAGUGUAGAGGCAAGUGGAAUUUUUAGUGUAGCGGUGAAAUGCGUAGAUAUUAAAAAGAAUACCGGUGGCGAAGGCGACUUGCUGGGCACAAUCUGACGCUGAGGAACGAAAGCGUGGGGAGCAAACAGG
Molecule: ribosomal RNA, 746 nt
Filed under: uncultured Parvimonas sp.
Lineage: Bacteria; Bacillati; Bacillota; Tissierellia; Tissierellales; Peptoniphilaceae
Description: bacterial SSU rRNA
Rfam family: Bacterial small subunit ribosomal RNA
Source: RNAcentral